RNAcentral lists this ribosomal RNA (310 nucleotides) under Pseudomyrmex aff. flavicornis-a MAS-2013. Its description in RNAcentral is "partial 28S ribosomal RNA". Lineage: Eukaryota; Metazoa; Arthropoda; Insecta; Hymenoptera; Formicidae. The record is from RNAcentral.
CGUGAAGAAAAGUUGAAAAGUACUUUGAAGAGUUAACGAGUACGUGAAACCGUUCAGAGGUAAACCUAAGAAACCCAAAAAAUCGAACGGGGAGAUUCAUCGUCAACGAAACUGGCUUCGCGUCGGUGGGCGAUAACCCCGCGGUGUGUCCUAAGCGGCACGCGCGUGCGGGCACGCUACCGAACGCCGAUGUCCGGUUUUCGUCGUCGUGCACUUCUCUCCUAGUAGAACGUCGCGACUCGCUGUGUGUCGGUCACCGACCCGGGUGCGGUUACUGUCACGUCGCCCGUAAAAACGGCGCGCGGCAAAC